ACCAGACUCCUACGGGAGGCAGCAGUGGGGGAUAUUGCACAAUGGGGGAAACCCUGAUGCAGCGACGCCGCGUGGGUGAAGAAGUAUUUCGGUAUGUAAAGCCCUCUCAGCAGGGAAGAAAGAAGACGGUACCUGACUAAGAAGCCCCGGCUAACUACGUGCCAGCAGCCGCGGUAAUACGUAGGGGGCGAGCGUUAUCCGGAUUCACUGGGUGUAAAGGGAGCGUAGACGGCCGUGCAAGCCAGGAGUGAAAGCCCGGGGCCCAACCCCGGGACUGCUCUUGGAACUGUGCGGCUGGAGUGCGGGAGGGGCAGGCGGAAUUCCUGGUGUAGCGGUGAAAUGCGUAGAUAUCAGGAGGAACACCGGCGGCGAAGGCGGCCUGCUGGACCGCGACUGACGUUGAGGCUCGAAAGCGUGGGGAGCGAACAGGAUUAGAUACCCGUGUAGC
This 448-nucleotide ribosomal RNA is filed under the name uncultured bacterium. RNAcentral describes it as "bacterial SSU rRNA". It matches the Rfam family "Bacterial small subunit ribosomal RNA", at positions 330 to 794 of the family's 1533-position model. The record is from RNAcentral.